Molecule: long non-coding RNA, 1566 nt
Organism: Nothobranchius furzeri (turquoise killifish)
Lineage: Eukaryota; Metazoa; Chordata; Actinopteri; Cyprinodontiformes; Nothobranchiidae
Source: RefSeq, a predicted model, not a curated record
AUCACUUCUGCCUUAUAGAGCAAGUAACGUCUAAAUUAACUUUUUUUUGCUGAUGAACUGUAUAAAUGAGUGUCUAAUAGUGUUUUAAAUGUGUGCAUUCUUUAUUUUAGCAUUUUGGUGCAUUUUCUUUAAAAAUUAAAAAUUCUGUCUAAAAACCACAGUAAUGCGCCACCUUCAGCUGAAAACAUAGAAUUUGAGUCAUUUUGAAUAAAUUUUAGCCAAUGGCUAAAGAGUAAAGUACUACGUAAACCAGUAGAGUACUACGUAGCAGCUCCGUGCCAAAGUUAUAAAAGCAACGAGCGUCUCGGCCACGCCCUGUGGCGAGUGGGAGUUGGAUUUGCAAGCGAGCGUAGGAGGUCAGCGGUAGUUCAGCAUUAGCAUAUAGCAUUAGCAUAUCCUAGUCUUAGCAUAUCUUUUAGUGUUAUAAAUACUUAUUUAGUGUUAGAUUUGGCUGUUGGAUAUUGUAGUUUAGUUAGUGUUUGGCUGUUAGUGUAAUUGGGAAAGUAUUUCGGGUUUAGUGCUCCAUAUCGUCUUAGUAUUGGUGAGUAGGUGUAGUGUAGUAUGCUUGCGGUGACUCUGUGGGCAUUUUACCCGCGAUUCUGCACGUCUCCGUUUGAAGAGGGAGGCUGCCCACCGUGGCUCUUCCGCGAUUUAGAUGCAGCCCACCGACUCUGCUCCCCCACCACGGCGGGCUCCAGUCUGAGGUGAGUACGCUAAAUAAACGUUUUAACAUCUUCUAAAGACAAUUCCCUACCUAAAUGCAAAGUCUGAGAGACGUGGUUCACUUCCUUUAGCUAGUCGGCAAUUCUGCAACAGUGUCUCUAACUGACGCAGCACUUGACAGACAGCAUUACAGCGUGAAAUCCAGCUUGUGACCCGGUUCUGUAAGGAAAUCUGUUCAGGAGGUCGCAUUUCAGGCUCUCCACAUCAUAUGUGACUGACUUUUACGUUAUAAUGAUCACACACUAGGAAUGUUAUAAAGCGCCUAUAUAGGACAGUUUCUUUUGUAUAUUAUCUGACUUUAUAAACUCCCAACAACAAUGUGCUUAUAUAUUUUUUUCAGGCUAAAUCUACCCAAGACACUGGCUGUCAGACUGAUUUAGCUGCAAGAAUGCACUUGUCCAGGCUGAUGUGAAACCUUCCCUGUAGCAAAGCCAGCCAGAAUGGAGUUCACAGCCGCAGUGUGUCUGGUGACCCACGGGGACCAUGAUGAAAAUUCAUCUUCCAGAAGGUCCCAGAGCAGCGGCCACACCCCCUGAAAAGACCAAGGUGUGAGGUGUCUGCUGUUGAUUCCAGCUUCCACCUCAGUGACAGUGCAAGCUCAGUGAACUGUUCAAGCCUGGCUGAUCACCUGAUAACUCCUGUCAUCUGGUUAUGACAGCAUGAGGAUGUCCUCACACACCUGUAACCUAUCAGCUCAUCUGGCAGAAUAGAGAGAGAAGAGACAACACCACAUCUCCUGUUCCUGGAAAGCCUUCAGCCAUCCUUCGAUGACUGAGAACCUCCAUCAGCUCUGUCUCCUGUCUGCCCACAAUUAUUAUAAUAAAUAUUGUGUUUGACAAGUUU